CAAAUAAAAAACUUUCAUAAAUCAUAAAAUCAUAAAGAGUUAUUCUUAGCAUGGCGUUGCUUAAGUUUGCAUUCGUUCUAACCGUUCUUCUCAUGACAAUCACUAGUUAGUUUUUAUCUCUCUUAUCUCUAUAUUGUGUACGUACAUAUGUGUACAUGCGAAGUCGAAAUCAAAUCCGACGAAAGGUGAUUAGUUGAACAUAUUAUACAAGAAAAUUAGUGUAUAUAUGUCAAAUAUUACUUUUUAAUGUGUGUGUUAAAAAGUUAUAUAUAUAUAUAUAUAUAUAUAACUUUUUAACACACACAUUAAAAAGUAAUAUUUGACAUAUAUACACUAAUUUUCUUGUAUAAUAUGUUCAACUAAUCACCUUUCGUCGGAUUUGAUUUCGACUUCGCAUGUACACAUAUGUACGUACACAAUAUAGAGAUAAGAGAGAUAAAAACUAACUAGUCAUAAGGUCUGAAUAAUCAUGAAUCCUAUCUUCUUUUUUACCAGAAAAAUCCGAACUAAGUAAUUUCUGUCUCACCUAAUCGUUGGUUACUGAGAGGUUAGAAGUAUAUCUUCGCUUGCCGGAAAAAGAAUUUGAUCCUGAUCCUUGUGGAUCGAAAGGUAGGCUAGACUGGACCUGCACGACCCUCCUAAUAAUAUCCAUAAAUGGCUUGUUUUUGGUAAUAGAUAAACAUUACCGUAUGUAAAUUCGGGUGCAUGAUAGACAUCGGUACUCCAGUGCAUUUCUCCGUCUGAAUCAGAAUAAAUAUGUUUUCGAACCUUCUACAUUACCGUAUGUAAAUUCGGGUGCAUGAUAGACAUCGGUACUCCAAUGUAUUUCUUCGUCUGAAUCAGAAAUAUAUAUAUAAAUAUAUAAUUAAAUCCUGGAAAUUCUUAACGAAAUUCUUGACUUGGCUACUGUAUACAUGGUCUUCCAACUUUUUCUAAACAUAUUAUUUGGGUGUGUGUUUUUCAUUUAUGUAAUACUUCUUAUCAUUUGAUUCUGAUCAAAUUUUGUUACGAUAAAUUUUUCAGUCAAUAUGUCGUGGUUCUCAGAGACGCAGGUACUGGCUUCACGAGAUAUUGAUCGUGAUCUCUUGGGACUUGAGAAGAGGCUACUCUCACCAAUUAAGCUUAUGACUUGUGGGAGAGAAUGUGUUUACAAUGAUUGUAAAGAUGAUUGUUGGAUUUGCUGUAGAUGUGUUAGAUCUGGUUGUGUCUUAUAAUUAUGCAAAUUGUUGAUAGAUUGGCGCAUUAGUGUCCAAUUACAAUCAACCGUACAACCUCAUAUUAUGUAUUUCUGUUAUAAAAUAUUCUAUUUAAGGUGAAUGUCUAUAUUUAGAGAGAUCCUAGGGUUUACUAUUUGGUGGCUAAGUCACCAUUUCCCUAUAAAUAAAGGGGUUCUCUCCCAUUGUAAAUCAUCCCA
Molecule: long non-coding RNA, 1414 nt
Filed under: Nicotiana benthamiana
Lineage: Eukaryota; Viridiplantae; Streptophyta; Magnoliopsida; Solanales; Solanaceae
Description: long non-coding RNA (NBEN_LNC019835)
Source: RNAcentral